This 200-nucleotide ribosomal RNA is filed under the name uncultured organism. RNAcentral's name for it is "partial small subunit ribosomal RNA". It matches the Rfam family "Bacterial small subunit ribosomal RNA", at positions 1183 to 1382 of the family's 1533-position model. The record is from RNAcentral.
CGUCAAGUCCUCAUGGCCUUUAUGUCUGGGGCUACACACGUGCUACAAUGGCCGGUACAGAGGGCAGCGAAGGCGCGAGCCGGAGCCAAUCCCGGAAAACCGGUCCCAGUUCGGAUCGAAGUCUGCAACUCGACUUCGUGAAGUCGGAAUCGCUAGUAAUCGCGGAUCAGAACGCCGCGGUGAAUACGUUCCCGGGCCUU